This is a long non-coding RNA of Solanum lycopersicum (tomato), 404 nucleotides long. RefSeq lists it as uncharacterized. NCBI's taxonomy places the organism in Eukaryota, Viridiplantae, Streptophyta, Magnoliopsida, Solanales, Solanaceae. The record is from RefSeq and is a predicted model, not a curated record.
AGAAAGUGUCUAUUCAACCACUCUAAAAUAUUUUCAACGAAAUUACUUGAGAAAAUGAUGUCAAUCACUAUGAAAUUGAUUUACUUCACUCUAAUUCUUUAUGUCAUCUUACCUUCUUAUGAAUGUGUCAAAGGAAGUAGCAACUUGAGUCCUUUGGGGAUCAUGGGUGAGAAGACAAAAUUGGUUAAGAGAUGUACAGUAAAUUUUGGUCCAUGUGACCCAAGUUGCAAUGUAAGAUGUUGCCAUGAGCAAUGUGAAGGAUCCUAUAGUCAAGGACACCCUGAGGCAACUUGCAAGUAUUUUAGUGGACAAUAUGAAAAUUGCCUUUGUACUUAUGAUUGUCAAUAAAUGAGAUGUCAAUUGGUAUCAUUUGAUUCAAAGAGUUAUUGAUUACACCUUGUUUA